RNAcentral lists this ribosomal RNA (253 nucleotides) under uncultured bacterium. Its description in RNAcentral is "partial 16S ribosomal RNA". It matches the Rfam family "Bacterial small subunit ribosomal RNA", at positions 524 to 776 of the family's 1533-position model. The record is from RNAcentral.
UACGUAGGGUGCGAGCGUUAAUCGGAAUUACUGGGCGUAAAGCGUGCGCAGGCGGUUUUGUAAGCCAGAUGUGAAAGCCCCGGGUUUAACCUGGGAAUGGCAUUUGGGACUGCAAGGCUUGAGUGCGGCAGAGGAGACUGGAAUUCCUGGUGUAGCAGUGAAAUGCGUAGAUAUCAGGAGGAAUACCGAUGGCGAAGGCAGGUCUCUGGGCUGACACUGACGCUCAUGCACGAAAGCGUGGGGAGCAAACAGG